Molecule: long non-coding RNA, 341 nt
Organism: Ananas comosus (pineapple)
Lineage: Eukaryota; Viridiplantae; Streptophyta; Magnoliopsida; Poales; Bromeliaceae
Exons: 2
Source: RefSeq, a predicted model, not a curated record
AAGCUUUUGCUUCAGUAAAAGUUAGUAGCUUCUCCGAGGAAACUGGUUCAGCAGAAUUUUCAUUCCCCGAGUUUGCUGGAGCUCUUCGUGUUUGAAUGAGUGGGCCAGUAGGUGUCCAUCCUUUCUUGACUCUACAGAGGCUGCAGUUGCAGAUUCCCCGACAAACUGGACAAAUCCAAUUGGGAUUUUUGUUGGCUUCCAGAACAUUCUCGCCAUAUCUACAAAAGUAAGAUUAUUGUUGGUAAUAAUCUAGGGAAAAAUUGGUGAUAAUAUAAAAUGAUUUGUAGUUUAUUACACUUCAUUGCAAUCUAUAUAGACUGCAAAUAAAAUCUUGAAGUGAA